CCUACGGGUGGCAGCAGUGAGGAAUAUUGGUCAAUGGACGGAAGUCUGAACCAGCCAUGCCGCGUGCAGGAAGACGGCUCUAUGAGUUGUAAACUGCUUUUGUACAAGGGUAAACCUGAAUACGUGUAUUCAGCUGAAAGUACUGUACGAAUAAGGAUCGGCUAACUCCGUGCCAGCAGCCGCGGUAAUACGGAGGAUCCAAGCGUUAUCCGGAUUUAUUGGGUUUAAAGGGUGCGUAGGCGGAUUGAUAAGUUAGAGGUGAAAUGUCCGAGCUUAACUCGGGAACUGCCUCUAAUACUGGGGAUCUAGAGAGUAGGAGAGGUAGGCGGAAUGUAUGGUGUAGCGGUGAAAUGCUUAGAGAUCAUACAGAACACCGAUUGCGAAGGCAGCUUACCGGUCUAUAUCUGACGUUGAGGCACGAAAGCGUGGGGAGCAAACAGGAUUAGAUACCCUAGUAGUC
Molecule: ribosomal RNA, 460 nt
Filed under: uncultured bacterium
Lineage: Bacteria
Description: partial 16S ribosomal RNA
Rfam family: Bacterial small subunit ribosomal RNA
Source: RNAcentral